RNAcentral lists this long non-coding RNA (7049 nucleotides) under Solanum tuberosum (potato). Its description in RNAcentral is "long non-coding RNA (STUB_LNC007709)". Lineage: Eukaryota; Viridiplantae; Streptophyta; Magnoliopsida; Solanales; Solanaceae. The record is from RNAcentral.
UGAAUGCCAAUUUUCGAUUGCCUAUGGAAAACAGAGUGUAUAGUAUUGGAACAGAGGGAUUCAAUAUAAUUAACUGUAUUUACAGUCAAAUAUUUAUUAAUAUGUUAAUAAAUAUAUAGAAUUUGAACGAAAGCUAUUUGGUUCACAAUGAAGUGAAUCAUUGAAGUUUUUGGUCCCUGUCCAGAGCUUAAUGGACUAUCUAGUAGAUGAAGAGUUUUGGUUUUUUUUUCCCAUCUUUUUGGGUCUCUGUAAAUGCCUUCCAAAUAUUAAAAUAUAUUAUUUUUCGUAUAAUUGGAUGAUCUGAGUGAUUUUAUUUGUGUUGUCAAAUUCAUUUGAAUUUAAUAUUUUUAAUAUAGAGUAUCAAUUUAAUGUGUAAAAGUUUACUAGAACUGCAACAAAUAAUAAACUUUAGCUCAUUGCUUCAAAAAUAUAUAACGUUCAAUGAUGAUAACUUUAAAAGUUUACUACGUAAAAUUUAUAUUUUGAAUCCAAACUAAAUAAGACCACGAAAUUACAAUGCAGGGGUAUUAAUUUUCCUUAUACUAAGAUCAGAUUAGUACAAGCUGUUUAUUUUGGAUUAUUUAAUUUUCAUAUAUAAUCUACUUCGAGAAGCACAAUUAGUGUGUGAUUAAUUGUUUUUGUUGAUCAAAUGUUUUGAAAAGUGGAAUUUUUAGAAAAUUAAAGUAUUGUUUUGAAUGUGACUAUUUUAGCUAUGUUUGCUAAAAUAUACUCAAAGCAAUCGAAGAAAAUUUUUAUUAUGAGGAUCCAUUGACAAGUUGACAUGUGGAUUGUGGGGGGGAGGGGGGCACAAGUUGUCCUUUAAAGCUGCAACUAAAAUCAAAGAGGAGAGAGUGUAAAGUUUAAUUGGAAAUUGAAAAAAUAUUGUGGGGUUCGCGUCAAAUACAAUUAAAUAAACUAAAAUGAUGUAUUCAAAAUAGAAAAGUGCACAAUAAAAAAGUAAUGAAACGAACCAAAAGUUAUUUUAUACGUAUAUUGAAAUUUUCUGAUUAAAACUAUUUUAAUAAAAAUGUCAAUUAAUAUUUAUUUUAAUAAAAAUGUCAAAUAAGAUAUUAAUGCCCAGAUUGAAGUUUCAUUGAUUUACUAUUUCUAAAAAUAAAUAUAAAAUUCAACAUAUUUAGCAUAAACUUUGUACGAUUUAAUAAAAGUGUAAUAAGUAGAAAUUUGACUGUUCUGCUCCAAAUUAAAAUGAAAUUCGUACUAUAUAAUGUUGUUAUAUAUCUAACACCAUUUAGAUAAAAGAAAUACUCUAAUAAUAUGAUUGUUAUAUCAUAGGAUAGUUUUUAAAAUUUUCACUUUGUUACACAUUUCAAGUCUUUUCUCAGUCCAUAUAUCAAAUAUCCAUUUUUAAAAGUAACACGAGUUUGAAAAAAAAAAAUAUACAUAAAUCUUAUUUUAUCUUGUAAUAUAGAAUCAUUUUUAAAAGUAACACAAAUUUGAAGAGAUCAAAGUGUAUGUAAAUACUAUUUUAUCUUGUAACAUAGAAAUAAUGUUUUUUUUAUAUAAAUCCUUAAUUAAACAAGUUAAAUAAAUGUGUAUAAAACAUAAAAUAAAAAUAUAGGUCAGCUGAUAAUAUGACUUCUCAUUCCCUGCAUUACUAUUUUAAUGUGUAUUUUUCCAUUUUCAAUACAUCAUUGUAGUUUAUUUAAUUGUAUUUGAUAUGGACCCCACGAUUUUCUUUCCGUUUUCAAUUAAACUCUACACCCUCUCUCCUCUUUGGUUUUAAUUGCAGUUUUAAAGGACAAUCUAUCCCCCACAAUCCACAUGUCAACUAGUUAAUAGAAUUUCAUACAAGUUUUUGUUGGUUGUACCUCUGACUUCUAUCCGUUCGACUUUUUUCUCUUCUUGCCUUUGGUAGGAGCUUCUUCAACAAUAUUAACUUCAAUUAUUGUCGAACUCUAACGAGACUUCUUUUCGGCGAUUCUAUUAUAUUCCUCAAUCUUGAGCCGAAUCACAAAAUUUUCAAGUUUCAUUUCCUUACGUUUGUGCUUUAAAUAAUUCUUGAAGUCGUUCCACGAAGGAGGUAACUUCUCGAUCAUUGCAACCACUUGAAAAGCUUCAUUUACAAACAUAUCCUCAGCAUUCAGAUUAUGGAAAAUAAGUUGAAGUUCUUGCACUUGUGAUUCAACAGUUUUACUAGUUGACAUUUUAUAGUCUAAAAACUUUGCGACCACAAACUUUUUCAAGCAUGCAUCUUUUGUCUUAUAUUUCUUCUAAGGUGCAUCCCACAAUUCUUUCAAAGUUGUCAUUGCACUAUACAUAUUAUAUAAGUCAUCCUCUAAAGCACUCAGAAUGUAGCCCUUACAUAGGAAGUCUGUCUGUUUUCAUGCUUCAAUAAUCAUGAAUUUUUCUUUGUCUAACAUUUCAGCAGCAGGCACUGGAGUUUCUUUACUGGUAAAUUUCUACAGACAAAGAGUGCUAAGCCAGAAAAAUACCCGUUGCUGCCAUCCUUUGAAAUUCAUACCAGAGAAUUUUCCCGAUUUCUCUGUUGGUGGUAUAACAAUUCGGGUUGGUGCAGCAACAACCACUGUUACAUUGUUGUUUGCCAUUUCUGAUAAACAAAAAUCGAUACAAACUUAGUAAGCAAUAACUUAAAUUGCAAACUUAAUAGGAGUAUAAAACUACAAAGGAUUUUGUCUCCACCAAAAACACAGAUUAAAAAUAAAUAACUAAUUUCCUUAAGAUUGUUGCCAAUCUGUGUUUAAAAAACAGUAAUACUGAUUACCAAAAACUUUGAAGAAACACGAAGUUACCAAAGUUUCCAAUGAACCAGUGAAGAAAAGAAGAACAUAAAUUAAUUCACAAAAAAUUAAAAUCUGUAAAACAUACCAGAAUCUGGAAAAGACAAAACGAAAAAAGAUCAAGUCUACUGAAUGCACAAUGUCCCCUUAAGGAAAUUAUUCCUCUCUAGUAUCUGAGGUUUGAUUUGGAAUAUAUCCUCCUAAGAUAGAAUGAUCUCAAUCACCAGUAUAUUGAUACCCAAAACGCGAGCCACUCAACGGUAGUAAAUUACACGAAAAAUAUUUAUGCAAAAGAAGAAGAAGAAAUCAGAAAUUUUCGUAAGUAAAAAGUCUGAAGAAUAACUGGUAUUUAUAGCCAAGAGGAACUGAUUCCGAAAGGUUGCAACCUUUCAGAAACCACACGACCAUUUCAGAAAGUUUGCAACCUUUCAAACGGCCAUGGCUGUUCCUGAAAGUUGCAACCUUUCAGAACAGUCAUCUCCAACGGUGGGAAAUUCAAAUAAAAUGGGAAAGUAAUUUAAAUAAAACCGGUCAUGCGGAUCCGAGUCGGAUCGGAACGUUUCGGUUAAUUAACUAAUUAAUUGAAACGUUUUGGCCAUUUAAUUUUAAAUAAAUAAGUAAAACAAAACUUUAUCCAAAAAAUAAUCUCUGAAUCAUUUUCCAAAGCCGAGCGAGCGACGACGACGGCGCGAGGAGGGUCCCUCUUCCCAACCAUUUUAACAAUUAAUAGAAAUGUUUCUCUAUUUAAAUUCUUCUAUUUUUCUUUUCACCACCGAUGAGGGAGAAAAGCCUUUUUACUAAAGCAUAAGAGGACUUUUCAAGUUCCUCUCUUUUCAUCUUCCCUCCAUUUUCCAUUAACUCUUGUUAUAUACCCAACAAUAUAUACGUCCAAGAAACUUAAAUGAUUAUUAGAAGAAAAUAUGAAAAAUAGGAUGAACGUACGAUUGCAAUCCUCAUUUAAUUAGAUAGAACAUUGAUUAUCUUAGAAAUGAAAGCAAUAUGGAUUUAAACCACAAAAAAAAAGUAUUAUGUCAACACAAAUAAUAGUAUCCAUAUAGGUGGUGGACAACUAUCUUCUUAUAAAUUUUAACAAUUCUCAUUUCGUAAAUUAAUUUUUGAAGUUUAAUUAAGUUUAAUAUUAGACGAGAGGGAGUUGCUCGGAUGGUAAGCACCCCUCACUUUCAAUCUGAAGGUUGCGAGUUCGGGUCACCAAGGAAGCAAAAGGGGUGGGAGCUCCUAGGGAGGGUUAAAAAAUAAAAUAAUAAUAAUAAUAAUAAUAUUAGAGUUAGAUUCAUCUCAAUUCUGUUCGAUGCUAGAUCCCAGAUCAUAUUAUGGUGUACACGUAAUAAUCCAAUCUAUGAGUAUAGGAUUGUUAAUAUGUAGUUCAUAACGAUUAAUUUUUAUUUCCUACUUAGUCACGUCUCAUUAUUUAUAAAGAAAUUAGUUAUAACUGGAGAUAACCAAUACUCGACAAUUCAUUUGAACCCGUUUUUCAUGAGCUAUACAAUGGUUUAAACGUAUAGUACUUACGGCGCCGAAACAAGAAAAUUGAUGCGCCUUAGUACUUGCCAAGCAAGAAAGGGGAAGAUGAUGACUUGGUUCGUUUCUAAAUAUCCAAAUUGUAGGAUGACUUAUUGACUUUUUGGGACCCCAUUUAUUGGAACCAAAUUUAGAGGAUAUAUUACUUCGUCAAUUUAGUUUGUUUUUAUUUUAUUAUUCUAAUGGAAUUUAAGAAAAUAAAAUUUAGAACUAAAAGUGUCACAAAGGGGAUUUUUUAAAACGAUUUUUAAAGAAAAAGUAAGAUAAAUAAAUUUUAAAAAAAAAAAUACCUGAAUUUUGUAAUCUAUUUGUUUUAAUUUAUUGUUUUAUUUUGACUAGAUAUAAAAUUUCAAAAAAAAUAAAAGAAUUUUUUAAUCAUUUAAUUUUAAAUUAAAAUAUGUAUUAAAAUAUAUUUUGAAUCUUAUAAGAUGAAAAAUAAAAUACUUGAAUUAAAAUAAAUGGAGUAAUAAAUUUUAUCCAAACAUAUAUUGGUUCCGUCUUAAUUUACGUGAUACUACUAUUUAAUUUGACGCAAAUUUAAGAAUUAAAAGAAAUAUUUUUAAAAUUUAUGGUCUAAACGAUGACUACUAUUCAUGUGGUUACAAAUCUAAAAGGUAAGUGUGUCAUGCAAAUUGAGACGGAAGAGUACUCCCUUCGUCCAACAAUAGUUGUGCAUUAUACUAUUUUGGGAUGUCCAAAAAUAUUUGUCCACUUUAUGAAAUAAUGAAUAAUUUUACACUUAUUCCUAAUUUCUGUUCAUUUUCUCCAAAUUUUAGCUUGGAUUGGAGACACAUGUCAUAGUUUAGAAUUAAUAGUUGAGAUCUAAUUAAUUAAAACAAAGUUUUAACCAUAGUUAUUUACUUUCAUAUAUUUGCUUCUUAAAUAAUUUUGCAAUCCAACAAUUCUAGAUUUACAUUAUAUUUUUCCUAAAUAUAUAUUUUUUAAAUUUCUUUUCUUAAUUACUUGAGUAAUAUUUUGCUGAUUUUUUUUACUUUUUUCCCUGACGAUUGUCAUUUCUCAAAUAAUAUUUGUCAAAUAAAAAAUUAAAAAUUGCGACCUAAUUUUUUUUAAAAAAAAUUAUGAGUAAAAUAAAUUUUGUCACUCAACUUUAAAUUAUUUUUUACUCCCUAAAUGGAGUCCAUAUUACUCUAUAGACAUUGUAGCUCUUAAUACUCUAUUAGAAUAAUAAAAUCGUUUAACUGUAUUAUAAUUUUUUUCAAUAAAGUAAAAAUAUUUAGUAAAAGUUUAAAAUAUGUAGGCAGGGCAGUAAAGAAAAGUUUUUAAUAUAUUUAGUGAAACUAUAAUGGAUUGCCAAAAUAUUUAAGAAUCAAAUAUAUGAAAGUAAAUAACUAUGGUUAGGACUUUGUUUUAAUCAAUCAUAUCUCAACCAUUAAAUCUAACUAUGACAUGUGUUUCCAAUUCAAGCUAGAACUUGAGGAAAAUGAAGAGAAGAGAAAUUGAGAAUAACCGAAUCCGUAUUUAUUAUAUUCAAAAAGUGAUAUAAUAAAAUUAUCCUUCUUUUUAAAGUUUAUUAAGAAAUGUGCAAAAUUAAUAGUGGAUUAAAUAUUGUUAGACACGGUAUAUUUUAAACAAUCAUUUUAUUUUUAUGGAUUCAGACGAUGAAAACUAAGUCAACUUUAUAACGUGCGGAGUUUGACGGAUGACUGAAUCAUUCUUCUUCAACACGCGUUAUUUCAAAUAAAUACUGUUCUUACAACUCUAUAAAUAGAGAAGAAUAUACAAAUACUCCUCACUGCAAUUUCUCAGCAUUUCAAAUAUUCCUCUCUUUUACUCUCUCUGCCUACUCAAUUAUACUCCUAACCAAACUUUAAUUCCCCAUCAAACAAACAAAAUGAAGGUAUACAAAUUAAUUUAAAUGUAAUUUUAAAUUUUUUUUAAGUAUAUGAUUCAACUCUUAUCUAUUAACAAAUGUUGUUAAAUUUGUGCAGCAAAAAGUUGUUAUCAGACUAUCUUUGAAUGGAAACAAUCAGAAAUAUCGAACCAAGGCCUUCAAGAUUGCUGUUUCUCAAUCAGGUAAUUUCAAUCAAAUGUAUCGAAUAAAGUCUCAUAUUGAUGUUAAUUAAAAAAAAUCGUGUGAAUUUGGCUCAAAGCUGAUUAUAUAUGUAUUGUUAAUUUUUGUUACUUAGGUGUGGAAUCAGCAGCUAUAACAGGGGACGGAAAGAACCAAUUGGAAGUUGUGGGAGAAGUAGACGCGGCGACUCUAACGAGCUUAUUGAGGAAGAAUUUGGGUCAGGCGGACUUGGUGAGCGUUGGCCCGGCUGGUGGUGGCCCCGCAGCUGCAGCUCCAGCUCCAGCCGUAGCUGCAGCUGCGAUGGUUCAGUCACAACCUGGCUCGUAUUAUUAUGCCUAUCCGUCUUAUCAAUACCCAGUUUACCAAGUUACAGAUUCCUAUGGCGAAUCCAAUUGUUCCAUUAUGUGAAUGACAAUUUUCGGUUGCCUAUGGAAAACAGAGUGUAUAGUAUUGGAAUAGAGGGAUUCAAUAUAAUUAACUGUAUUCACAGUCAAAUAUUUAUUGAUAUGUUAAUAGAUAGGGCUAUAGAGUUUGAGCGAAAGCUAUUUGGUUCACGUGAACUUGUAUGGUGUAUCAUUGAAGUUUUUGGUCCCUGUCCAGAGAGCUUAAUGGACUAUCUAGUAGAUGAAGAGUUUUGGUUUUUUUUUCCCCAUCUUUUUGGGUCUUUGUACAUGCCUUUCAAAUAUUAAAAUAUAUGAUUUUUCGUAUAAUUGGAUGAU